RNAcentral lists this ribosomal RNA (389 nucleotides) under uncultured bacterium. RNAcentral's name for it is "bacterial SSU rRNA". It matches the Rfam family "Bacterial small subunit ribosomal RNA", at positions 28 to 414 of the family's 1533-position model. The record is from RNAcentral.
GACGAACGCUGGGGGCGUGCUUAACACAUGCAAGUCGAACGAAUUCGACCUUCGGGUCAUAUGAGUGAGUGGCGAACGGGUGAGUAACACGUGAGAAACCUACCUCGAAGUACGGAAUAACCCAGGGAAACUCGGGCUAAUACCGUAUGCCUUGCACACAUCGAAUGGUGAGUGCAAGAAAGAUUUAUCGCUUUGAGAGGGUCUCGCGGACUAUCAGCUUGUUGGUAAGGUAAAGGCUUACCAAGGCUAUGACGGUUAACUAGUCUGAGAGGACGAUUAGUCACACUGGAACUGAGAUACGGUCCAGACUCCUACGGGAGGCAGCAGUCGGGAAUAUUGCACAAUGGACGAAAAGUCUGAUGCAGCGACGCCCGUCGAGGGAGUGAAGG